RNAcentral lists this ribosomal RNA (301 nucleotides) under uncultured bacterium. Its description in RNAcentral is "partial 16S ribosomal RNA". It matches the Rfam family "Bacterial small subunit ribosomal RNA", at positions 509 to 807 of the family's 1533-position model. The record is from RNAcentral.
CAGCCGCCACGGGAAUACGUAGGUGGCAAGCGUUGUCCGGAAUUAUUGGGCGUAAAGGGCUCGCAGGCGGUUUCUUAAGUCUGAUGUGAAAGCCCCCGGCUCAACCGGGGAGGGUCAUUGGAAACUGGGAAACUUGAGUGCAGAAGAGGAGAGUGGAAUUCCACGUGUAGCGGCGAAAUGCGUAGAGAUGUGGAGGAACACCAGUGGCGAAGGCGACUCUCUGGUCUGUAACUGACGCUGAGGAGCGAAAGCGUGGGGAGCGAACAGGAUUAGACACCCCGGUAGUCCCUGUCUCUUAUAC